GACGAACGCUGGCGGCGUGCUUAACACAUGCGAGUCGAACGGAAGGGCCCUGCUUUUGUGGGGUGCUCGAGUGGCGAACGGGUGAGUAACACGUGAGUAACCUGCCCUUGACUUUGGGAUAACUUCAGGAAACUGGGGCUAAUACCGGAUAGGAGCUCCUGCUGCAGGGUGGGGGUGGGAAAGUUUCGGCGGUUGGGGGUGGACUCGCGGCUUAUCAGCUUGUUGGUGGGGUAGUGGCUUACCAAGGCUUUGACGGGUAGCCGGCCUGAGAGGGUGGCCGGCCACAUUGGGACUGAGAUACGGCCCAGACUCCUACGGGAGGCAGCAGUGGGGAAUAUUGCACAAUGGGCGGAAGCCUGAUGCAGCAACGCCGCGUGCGGGAUGACGGCCUUCGGGUUGUAAACCGCUUUCGCCUGUGACGAAGCGUGAGUGACGGUAAUGGGUAAAGAAGCACCGGCUAACUACGUG
This 468-nucleotide ribosomal RNA is filed under the name uncultured bacterium. Its description in RNAcentral is "partial 16S ribosomal RNA". It matches the Rfam family "Bacterial small subunit ribosomal RNA", at positions 28 to 507 of the family's 1533-position model. The record is from RNAcentral.